Molecule: ribosomal RNA, 253 nt
Filed under: uncultured bacterium
Lineage: Bacteria
Description: partial 16S ribosomal RNA
Rfam family: Bacterial small subunit ribosomal RNA
Source: RNAcentral
UACAGAGGUCUCAAGCGUUGUUCGGAUUCAUUGGGCGUAAAGGGCGCGUAGGCGGCGGGGUAAGUCGGGUGUGAAAUCUCAGGGCUCAACCCUGAAACUGCACUCGAUACUGCUCUGCUUGAGGACUGGAGAGGAGACUGGAAUUCACGGUGUAGCAGUGAAAUGCGUAGAUAUCGUGAGGAAGACCAGUGGCGAAGGCGGAUCUCUGGACAGCUCCUGACGCUGAGGCGCGAAGGCUAGGGGAGCAAACGGG